RNAcentral lists this long non-coding RNA (648 nucleotides) under Homo sapiens (human). Its description in RNAcentral is "HSALNT0325292". Lineage: Eukaryota; Metazoa; Chordata; Mammalia; Primates; Hominidae. The record is from RNAcentral.
CACAACAAGUUACCAAACCCUGGGUGGCUUAAAACAACAGGAUUUCAGGUUCUCGUCAUCUGGAGGUCUGAAGUCUGGAGUCAAGGAAUCAGCACGGCUCUGCUCACUCCGAAGGCUCCAGGAGAGAACCUUUCUUUGCUUCUUCCAGCAUCUGGUGGCUGCAGGCAUUCCCUGGAUUGUGGCAAAGUGUGUGGUGCAACAGCAGAGUGGAAAGAGAAUGUGUGGAUCAGACAUACCUGGGUGGAAACUGACUUUACCAACGACUGGCUGGCUGCAAGACCUUGGCGAUUAUCCUUAACCUAGCCUCAGUCUCAACCUGUGACACGGCAAUGGCAGCUUAGAGAGGUUAAGCUACUUGAGUCACACCCGUGUCAGGUGGAGGAGCUGAACCUUGGAUGCAGGAGUAUCCGUUUCUACUGUCUCAACUCUUCCUAACUGCUUUGGAAUGACAGAAUGAGGAAAUGCACCCAACGUGAAUUUUGCGUUCACCAUUACCUGCAAAAUGUCAGUGGCUAAUGCCAGCUUUGGCUGACUGUCCUGAUAUCCAGAGCAAUGGUUCCUAAAUUUUGGUCCACGGUCCAGUGCCAGCUUAGGACCAAGGAUUCACAGUCUUUGAUGUGAGGAAAAUAAGAACAUAAAAUUGGCCAG